CGAUUCAUUUCCUUUCCCCCCCGACAACCCCUCUUUGCUCGAUCCCUCCUUCCCGACGCCAACGCCGCGUCGAUCGUCGCGAGCUCACCGGCGGCGGCGGUCUUCUCCAGCGUGCCUCCGUCGACUCUCCAGCCUCCCUUCCUCUAGUGGUAUGGAGCGGUUGAGCAACGGUCGACCGCCGAACCAGAGCUUUUCUGCCUCUUUCUCGCGAAUGGCGUUCCGAUCGUCGACGCCGAGCCUUACUCCUCCCUCUUCCUCGCGUGCUGCUGCGAUUUGUCGACCCCCGAGACGCUGGAGCCAAGCCACCCUUCCUCUAGUGUCAUCGUCGUCGCACGGGUUCCGAUUUCAUCUUCUCUUCACCGGAUCUUGGACUAGGAGGGGUUCAGCAGCGGCUCGUCUCCCUUCACCGGAGUAUAGCCUACCUGUCUUGAAGCUGUGCCCUAGUUGCAUUUCAUUGCUGGUACACCCCAGGAGUUCUUCCUCUUUGGAUGUCAGCCCCAAUUGUCUUUGAUUGGUCGCGAUCAAGUUAAUGUCGGAGGGUUUUCAAGCAUCCAACAGCGGCGUUGUUCCUUCGUCAAGGUGAGCAGAACGGGGACAAUUCCACCAGGGAGGUUCAUCACCUUCUCUUUAUUAGGAUUGCAGCACCCUUUUCAUCUCCGGACAGAUCCGGUUACCUUCUGUGGUAGCUACCUUGUCUUCUUGGAGGUGUUUGACGAAAUGUUUGGAGCCCUUUGUCUCCUCUGUUUGCAUUGGAAACUCCAUUGGUGACCACCUAUUGUGGAGAGUAGCUGCUGGAACAAUGGGCAUCCAUUGUAAGGAACUAUGAGGACUUGGAUUCGGGACGAGCGUCUCGACGUGGGAUUUCCGGGCACGAUCUACGUAUUAAGG
Zingiber officinale is the source of this 888-nucleotide long non-coding RNA. RefSeq lists it as uncharacterized. The record is from RefSeq and is a predicted model, not a curated record. NCBI's taxonomy places the organism in Eukaryota, Viridiplantae, Streptophyta, Magnoliopsida, Zingiberales, Zingiberaceae. The transcript is spliced from 3 exons.